UGGGGAAUAUUGGACAAUGGGCGCAAGCCUGAUCCAGCCAUGCCGCGUGAGUGACGAAGGCCCUAGGGUUGUAAAGCUCUUUCAGUGGUGAAGAUAAUGACGGUAACCACACAAGAAGCCCCGGCUAACUUCGUGCCAGCAGCCGCGGUAAUACGAAGGGGGCUAGCGUUGUUCGGAAUUACUGGGCGUAAAGCGCGCGUAGGCGGAUUGGUCAGUCAGGGGUGAAAUCCCGGGGCUCAACCCCGGAACUGCCUUUGAUACUGCCAGUCUAGAGAUCGAGAGAGGUGAGUGGAAUUCCGAGUGUAGAGGUGAAAUUCGUAGAUAUUCGGAGGAACACCAGUGGCGAAGGCGGCUCACUGGCUCGAUACUGACGCUGAGGUGCGAAAGCGUGGGGAGCAAACAGGAUUAGAUACCCCCGUAGUCC
This 424-nucleotide ribosomal RNA is filed under the name uncultured prokaryote. RNAcentral describes it as "bacterial SSU rRNA". It matches the Rfam family "Bacterial small subunit ribosomal RNA", at positions 355 to 796 of the family's 1533-position model. The record is from RNAcentral.